GAUGGAAGCAGAGAACAACAAAUCUGUAAAACAUAGCCUGAUGAAAAUAUGCUGUUAAAUAUGCAGUGAAGUUCACUAUAAAAGCUCAAACAUGACAGCACAAAGGCAUGUCUGACUCCUUUAACACAAGUGUGUUUUUUGAUGUGUAGAUUUUUGUUAGUGGUUAAAUAUUUUACAGUGACUUUUUUUUUCAGGGCACAAUUUGCAAUAGAGGCCUUUAAACCUUCUAAUGCAGUUCCAAAAGAAACUUUUACUGAACUAUUGCUAUUGUUGCUGUCACAAGUUUUUUUUUAUGAAUACAGUUUAUCAAUUAUUUCAAGCCUUUAAAAAGAAUUAGAAUUGUUGGGGAAGAACAUUAUGUAAAAUUGAUUCAUGUCAAUAAGAUAAAAAAUAAAAAUACUAAACAAAACAUGUCAUAGAGUCUCUAAUGAGAGCAAUACAUCAUAUGAAGCCUACCAUUAAUAUUUCUGUUGCAUGUAAAUUUGAUUAAAAGCUUAUGUAAAUCUCCUGUUGCAUAUUUAAACAGCAGACAUGAGUCAGUUUACACAUUCAUCUGAUCACUAGAGGGAGUGAAGAAUCACUUCAGUUCAGUCAAACUGUGCUGAGAAACAAACCAUGAUCUCUUCAUCUUUAGUGCUGCUUCUGGCAGUCAUAUCCUGUAUUGAUUCAUAUGAACUCACUCAGCCUGAGUCUCUGACUGUCCGUCCUGAUGCCACUCUCACUAUCAACUGUAAAGUCUCAUAUUCAGUUACUAGCUAUGCUACAGGCUGGAUUCGUCAGCCUGCAGGAAAAGCUCUGGAGUCGAUUGGAGUCAUCUGGAGUGAUGGAAGCUUAUACUACAAGGAUUCUCUGAAAAGCAAGUUCAGUAUCACCAGAGACACUUCCAGUAACACAAUAACACUGCAAGGACAGAAUAUGCGAGCUGAAGACACAGCUGUGUAUUAUUGUGCCAAACGUACACAGUGACAGACG
This is a non-coding RNA of Carassius carassius (crucian carp), 972 nucleotides long. The record is from the annotation of a RefSeq genome assembly. Lineage: Eukaryota; Metazoa; Chordata; Actinopteri; Cypriniformes; Cyprinidae.